AGCCAACACUGGUUUUUUUAUAUAUAUAUAUAUAUAUAUAUAUAUAUAUUUAUUUAUUUUUUAUUUUUUUUAUUUGGGGUAGCCCCCAAAAUAUUGGGAUAUAUAAAAAAAGACAACUCUGUUCCGCAGAGUAGCUGUUGACAUUAUAGUUGCUCAGGCACUUUGUUGACUCUAGAGAACCUCGGGCUAAUCGCACAUACCCGUGGCGGCGACUUUGCAUGCGGAUGUCAUCCAUAUCAACUUUCAAUGUCGGUUUCUGCGCCUACCAUGGUGACUAUGGGUAACGGGGAAUCAGGGUUCCAUUCCGUACAGGGAACCUGAGAAACAGCUACCACAUGCAAGGAAGGCAGCAGGCA
Non-coding RNA from Pelobates cultripes (western spadefoot toad), 356 nucleotides. The record is from the annotation of a GenBank genome assembly. Lineage: Eukaryota; Metazoa; Chordata; Amphibia; Anura; Pelobatidae.